RNAcentral lists this long non-coding RNA (1003 nucleotides) under Marmota monax (woodchuck). The record is from RNAcentral. Lineage: Eukaryota; Metazoa; Chordata; Mammalia; Rodentia; Sciuridae.
GUCUAUGACUGGUCAAUUCCAUCACUUUGGACCCUAGAUGAGGCACAUCAUGGCAGAAGAGUGUGGUGAAGGAAAGCUGUUCAGCUCAUGAAAGCCAAGAAGCUGAGAGACAGGAAGGGGCCAUAACCAGAUAUAGUCCAGACCAUGCCCAGUGACCUGCUUCCUCCAGUCAUGCCCCACCUCCCUACAGUUACCAUCCAGUAGUGCAUACAGUCGAUGAAUCCACUGAUGACAUUGCGUCUCUGAUAAUCUAAUCAUUGCGCUUCUGAACAUUUCUGCACUGCCUAAUAGAUGAGCUUUUCUAGGGACAUUAAAGAUUCCAAUCAUUAACAUUAGGAUAGGGUGAAUUAUAUUCUUCACCCCAACCCAUGUCAGAUUUUCCUGACUUUAUUAUAUUUGUUUCAGUGGAAUAACAAAACCAUUUUGCAUUCCAGAAACAUGUACUAGCUAAUGGUAAUAUAAUUCAGAUGCUUGUUGGGAAAUAAGGGAGGUGACAAUGUUAAUUUUCCAAAACAUUUAUAAUUUUCCUUAUUAUGUUUACUUGUUAGGGCUAUCACCCUAGAAUGUGAGCAAGUCACUUUUUUCUUUUCUUUUUUCUUUUCUUUUCUUUCCUAUUUUUUACAGUGCUAGGAGUGAAUGGAACCCAGAUCUUCACACAUGCUAGGCAAGUGCUCCACCAACGAACUACAUCCUGAGCCCAGCAAGCCACUCAUAUAUGCAAGAGUUCAAGUGGCUUACCUAAAGUUAUAAAUAUAGUGACUGACCACACAUAAAAAUAAUGAUGACAACUAACAUUUAUUGAUCAAUUUCUGCAUACCAAGUACUGUGUACCCUUUACAGUCAUUCUUAUUCCUAUUCUGUCCCUUUUGCCAUUAGACCAGACUAACUGUACUGACAUUUUUUUUUUCUUUGAUGUAUAGACUGCUCCCAGUUGAAAAUCCACAUGCAUACUUCAGCAUCAAUCAGUGAGCUAGGUGUGGUGGUGCAUGCCUGUAAUCCCAGC